Caenorhabditis elegans is the source of this 97-nucleotide microRNA precursor. Lineage: Eukaryota; Metazoa; Nematoda; Chromadorea; Rhabditida; Rhabditidae. The record is from Ensembl.
GAAAUAGGUUCUUUUAGCAACCGGUUUUCUCUGUGAUCUACAGAAUGACAGCUAAUCGUCUGAGAUCAUCGUGAAAGCCAGUUGUUUUUAUGAACUC